GCCGCCUCCCUCCGCCUCCCUCCGCCUCCACUGUUCCUGGUCAGCCCCAGGUGGUCGCCAGGUGACACAGGGCCUGCCUCCAAGGACCUCUCCUGGCUGGGCCCAGGGAGGGUCGCGGUGGCGAGCAUUUGUCCUGGAUUGAAGUCUGCCAGAGGUUCUGGAGGCGCUUUGGGCUCAGGCCGGAAAAGGGACCUGCUGGCAGCGGGGACGCCCUGGCCCUGGGCCUCUGCGCCGGGCUCUACCCCCGCCUGCCCUUCUCAGGGGUGGACGUGGAUGGCCCCGUCUUCCAUCCCCUUCCUGGGGCAGAAGCUCUGGUGGCCUCGGCCCCGCCAGCAUCCUUGGGAGGCCGCUCUGGGCGGCAGCGAGGCUCCUGCUGUGCCCUGGCGCCUCUGGCCGGGGCUCUGCAGAACAGCCCCGGCUCCGGCUCUCUGGGCUGUGGGAGCACCCCCAGGUCCCUGCCUGGAGAUGAAGUGCCGGGCUUGGACCCCCCACCACCCGGGGACCAAGAGGGCCAGCCCAACAUGGAGACCUGCUCCAAACCCAGGUGCAAGGCGGCGAAGGCGGCGAUGGCGGCCGGGUCCUGCAAGGAUGCAGCGUGAGGUCCUCCUGGGCACAGGCCCCGAGUGAGACGGGCCGGUCAGGGGAGAGCGCGAGGCGGGCAGCUGGCCUGGGCGGGGCUGAGGAGUGAGCUGCGAGCUCUGACCUGGGCUGAGGUGUGGGCGCUGUGACAGGCCGUGACAGACGCUCCAGGAAGCAGAUCCUGUAGGAGGAGGUCCCCAAGCUUGUCCCCCGACUUGAUCCCCUGUCCCGGGUUCAGAGUGAAGCCCAGGACCCCAGGUGAUCAGCACUGCCACUGCCCAAGGCAACGUUUCCGGGUCUCUCUCUGGUGUGGAUCAGGUGUCCUUUGUCACUUGGAGGGAGCUGCCUGAGCGGUGACCUUCAGGGUGACCUGGCUGAGCUCACCAGGGGCAAGAGUCUUCUCCUUGUUCUCUCUGCCUUUGAACUUCAGCCUGGUCUUCCUGCUGACCCUUGGUGGGGACCUUGACUUCCCAAAGUAAGCUGUCCCAGAGGACCGCCCACAGCUGGGAGCAGGCUUUCUUCAAUUUUAAGAGUUACUGAUGGACCUCUAUUCAUUCAUUUGUGAGGCGCUAACCCUGACCCUGACCCUGACCCAGGGCCGCCCACGGCUAGGCAAGCCCGCUACCACCGCGCCACACCCCGCCCUGGAGAGCAGUGCUUAUCUGGAGAGAAUGGAUUGGGCUGUAGGGAAAGCGCGGUGUGCACAGUUUGGCUUACACAGAUCAUUGGUGAAAGAGAAAUGGGUGCCCUCCUGUUCCCACCCAGAUGUUGCUGGGUGCAGUCAGCUCUGGAGCACAGGAGGUCAGGUGAUGCGGGACUCCUCUCCAUCCCCAUCUGGUUGUGGUACUGGGGACGGGACCAGGACUGCUUCACCACUGCGCGGCACCCCAGUCCUUUUAAAGUUUAUUUAUUCCUCAACUUUGAGGCAGGGUCUUGCUAAGUGGCUGAGGCUGGCCAACUUGCGAUCCUCCUGCCUCAGCCUCCCAGGUGGCUAGGAUGACGGGUGUGCACCACUCUCUGCUCCUUCCCCCUGUACUGGGCUCCUUUGCGCUUUGCCUGCCAGCACUGGCACCGAUUCCAGAACCAGCAGGAGCUCCGAUCCUGGGAUGUCACCACCAGCCCCAGGACACUUCAUCACCUCCGGCCCCUCGUCCCCUAUCUGUCUCUGUGGCUUCUGGUCACCCUCUGGGCUGCGCUGUUUUCUUUGGUGCUCUUCGAGGAUCACAACACCCGGUUCAUCUCAGAAGAGUGUGUUGUGUGGUGGAUCUGGCCACAGGGAGGGAAAGGAGGUGCUGAUGGGGGUGAGGCCCGGAACCGCCACAGGAAUGUGCGUAAGGGGGGACGCGGGCCUCGCGGGCCUGGGGCACUGUAGAGUCUGGCCCCGGUAUUUCCCUCCCUCCCCUCCUGCCCCUUUCCUCUACUGAUUUCCCCUCGAUUUUCAUGAGACCUCCCCCCACCCCACACCCCACACCCCCUUUUCCUUUUUCCCCUCUCACCUCCAUUUUCUUAAUAUCACGGUCUGCAGUCCCAGCGCUCUGCUGCGAAUGACGCGAUCCCUCCUUCGUGACUGUGUACUGCACGGUUCCCUGUCCCCUCCUCUGCCGUGGACACCCAGGAGGUUCUGGAGACGGGCUGUUGUGAAUGUGCUGCUGUAAACGUGGCACGCGUGGUCGCUGUCGCACGCACACGGCUUUAGACCCUCAGGAUAGCCACCGAGGAGGGCUCCGCUGGGCCACGUGGCCCCAGGCCUAAGCCCUGUCCCUGUGGUGGUACUCACUGAGGCUCCCAGCAACGGGGGAAGGCGCCCCUGCCCACGUCCCCUGCCCACGUCCCCUCCCGAGUCUGUGUGGUGACGACGGACGAGGGCCCACGCGAGCGAUUCCCUUACGUGAAGGCCCAGCAGGCAACCCGCAGGGAGGGCGGAGGGCAGCCUGGGGGGCGAGGACGCGGCCGGCUCCCUGUGGGGUGAGUGUGCUGGAGUCGGCCGAGGAGACGGGCACAGCUCUGAGGACACUGACAGCGUCAUCUUCACACCUGAAGGGUGUGUGUUUGGGGUAGGAUUGUGUCCCCAGACCCUGUCAAACCUCACCGCUGAUCCCGCGGGAACCCGGCCCACGGCUUCCUUCCCCACCCAGGGCCUCACGUGUGCUGGGCAGGCUUCUGCCACCGAGCCACACCCAGGGCUUCCCAUCACCUUCUUAUGUAUUUAUCUUGUGCACUUUACCCCUGAGCCGCACCCCAGCCCUUUAGGUCUCCUGUUUUGGGACGGGGUCUUGCCACGUUGCUCAGGACCUCUUCUAAGUUGCUGAGGCUGCUUGAACUUGGGAUCCUCCUGCCUCAGCCUCCCGAGCCACUGGGGUCACAGAGGUGUGCCACCACACCCAGCUGACCUUUUGGUUUUUGAGUCUCGCUAAGUUGCCACGGCUGGCCUCGGCUUCACACCCCGUGGCCUCGCUCCCCGUGGCGGGACGCUCACUCGCUGACGGCCCCUCCCCUCCCUCGUCUCACUGGGCUCCAUCGCUUCCUCGAGAGGCUCUGCGGUGCUCUGCCCUCUGCCUGCCCUCACCGGUUCCUUUGGUCUGAUCGCGAUGUGCCUGGGUGGGGUAUUCUUUAUCAAUCCUGUUUUGGGGUUGCUCACUUUUUGAAUCUGGGUUGAUGUCUUUUGUCAAUUUUAAUAAAUCACUGUUGUCUUUAUUUA
Long non-coding RNA from Marmota monax (woodchuck), 3277 nucleotides. RefSeq lists it as uncharacterized. The transcript is spliced from 3 exons. Lineage: Eukaryota; Metazoa; Chordata; Mammalia; Rodentia; Sciuridae. The record is from RefSeq and is a predicted model, not a curated record.